Molecule: ribosomal RNA, 253 nt
Filed under: uncultured bacterium
Lineage: Bacteria
Description: partial 16S ribosomal RNA
Rfam family: Bacterial small subunit ribosomal RNA
Source: RNAcentral
UACAGAGGGUGCAAGCGUUAAUCGGAAUUACUGGGCGUAAAGCGCGCGUAGGCGGUCGAGUAAGUCGGAUGUGAAAUCCCCGGGCUUAACCUGGGAAUUGCAUUCGAUACUGCUUGGCUAGAGUGUGGAAGAGGGAAGCGGAAUUUCCGGUGUAGCGGUGAAAUGCGUAGAUAUCGGAAGGAACACCAGUGGCGAAGGCGGCUUCCUGGUCCAACACUGACGCUGAGGCGCGAAAGCGUGGGGAGCGAACAGG